AUUGAACGCUGGCGGAAUGCUUUACACAUGCAAGUCGAACGGCAGCACGGUGGCAGCCCUGGUUGCUAGUGGCGAACGGGUGAGUAAUACAUCGGAACGUGCCCGGUCGUGGGGGAUAACGUAGCGAAAGUUACGCUAAUACCGCAUACGAUCUGAGGAUGAAAGCGGGGGACCUUCGGGCCUCGCGCGAUCGGAGCGGCCGAUGUCAGAUUAGUUAGUUGGUGGGGUAAAGGCCUACCAAGCCGACGAUCUGUAGCUGGUCUGAGAGGACGACCAGCCACACUGGGACUGAGACACGGCCCAGACGCCUACGGGAGGCAGCAGUGGGGAAUUUUGGACAAUGGGCGCAAGCCUGAUACAGCCAUCCCGAGUGCAGGACGAAGGCCUUCGGGUUGUAAACUGCUUUUGUACGGAGCAAACAGGUUCUGGCUAAUACCUGGGGCUCAUGACGGUACCGUAAGAAUAAGCACCGGCUAACUACGUG
RNAcentral lists this ribosomal RNA (484 nucleotides) under uncultured bacterium. RNAcentral describes it as "partial 16S ribosomal RNA". It matches the Rfam family "Bacterial small subunit ribosomal RNA", at positions 30 to 507 of the family's 1533-position model. The record is from RNAcentral.